CUUCACUAAAAGCCUGAGUCUGUGUACCGCUAACUCGGGGUUAGGACUAAUAUUUCGGAAGACUGAGUCGUUUCUAGCCUUCCAUAUAAUCCACCAGCAGCCUAUAAGGGCAGGAAGGCAGUUUCGCUUUUUUAUGUGGUCUCUUCUAACCAUCCACCUAUCCCAUACGAAAUUCACGUCGUCCCCCAGAUCAUGGGCCUGAGUAUCGUCCUCCCCUGACACUAUGAUAAACUUAACGAAUACGCACUG
RNAcentral lists this long non-coding RNA (249 nucleotides) under Ananas comosus (pineapple). Its description in RNAcentral is "long non-coding RNA (ACOM_LNC014288)". Lineage: Eukaryota; Viridiplantae; Streptophyta; Magnoliopsida; Poales; Bromeliaceae. The record is from RNAcentral.